Non-coding RNA from Cricetulus griseus (Chinese hamster), 4993 nucleotides. NCBI's taxonomy places the organism in Eukaryota, Metazoa, Chordata, Mammalia, Rodentia, Cricetidae. The record is from RefSeq and is a predicted model, not a curated record.
UUUUAUAUAUAAUAAAUAUUAUAUUACCAGAGUACCUUUUCUCAAAUAAGUCAUAUUUGAGUAAUAAUAAUAGUAAUAAUAAUAAUAAAGUUAUAAAGUAAUAAUAAUAAAGUAAAUAAUAAAAGCUAGAGUCAGGUGGUGGUAGCUCAUCUCUGUACUCAGGGAUGUAGAGGCAAGUGGAUCUCUGAGUUUGAGGCUAGCCUGGUCUACAAAGGGAGUUCUAGAACAGCAGGGCUGUAACAGAGAGAAACCUUCUCUCUCAAAAAAGAAAAGAAAUAGGCAGAAGCAGUAGUACAUGCCCUUAAUCUUAGCAGUCAAGUGGUUGAGUUUAAGUUUACAUGAGACUUCAUCUGCAAAUACCAAAAACACCCCCCCAAACUCAAAAUAACAACAACAGCAAGACCCCAAUUCCCACCCCACCUCUCCAAAGCACCUCUCUCAAUUCCAGAAUAUUCAGUGAUGACUCUUUCAGACUGUUAACCUUUGUUUUGUUUUUGUUUUUUGAAGCAGGGUUUCUCUGUGUAGCCCUGGCUGUCCCUGCAUUUGCUCUGUAGACCAGGCUGCUAAUCUUAUUUCUAUCAGAAAUCUAAAAUAGUGCAAGAGUAAAAAAUCUGUUGUCCUAAAGUCUAUCAACUUAGGGCUGUAAGGACAGAAGGUAUCCUGAGCAGAUUCUGGUUCCAAUGUAGGGACCAGCACUUAAGCAGUGGGCCUCACGGCUUAUUGACUCCUGUUUGCUCGAUAGAUCUGGGAUAGUGAAGUCUCACCUGUAAAUGGGAAGCCAUCUAUGAAACCAACUGAAUGCCCUGAUUGCUGAUUGUGAGGAUAACUGGUAGUAACUCCUCUUUAGGCAGCAGAAGGGAAAAAUUUGAUGCUUUCACCUAAAAACUUUAUUUGCUACGGGAAUUUUCUUUGGCUAAUGCAACUUUUAAGACCUGUUAGUUCACUCUGAGGCCAAGGAACAUUUAUGUAAGGAAUCUUCAAUAACAUUCCUUCAGUUUGGCAAGCGUGGAACUCCCUGAUGCCAGUUUUUCCCUCUUUUGAAUAUUCAAUUUGCAUAUGGCUUCAUUUGACUUCCCAAAUGUUUUCAAUGUUUAAAAACUGCAGAUAGGAUCAUGUAAAGUUAGAGACAUUUAUUUUGCUUUUAUUUCCUUCUCAGUGAUUUUGGUCUUGAUGGUUCUGAAAGUCUGAGAAUGCACUAUGACCUUUCUUUUCACUGAAGCCAGCUUGCAUUAAGGGCGAUUCCUAAUGGUGCUGAUUUGUACUUCCCAAAGUAGACCCCACAAGUUUCCAUAUGGAGCACCAGUUCUUUUUUUUUUUUAAGUAAUUUUUUUAAUUUAAAUUAGAAACAAGCUUGUUUUACAUGCCAAUCCCAGUUCCCUCUCCCUCCUCUCCUCCCCUGCCCCCCACUGAGCCCUUAUCCAUCCCCUUUUUGCUCCCCAGGGAGGGUGAGGCCUUCCGUGGGGGAUGGUUUUCAAAGUCUGUCAUAUCAUUUGGAGCAGGGCCUAGACCCUCCCUUAUGGAAACCUUCUGUGUUAAACCAGUGUUGGUGAUUCUAUGAUGCUGAUGAUUACAGGUCAGCUCCCUUUCUUCCAUUCCAACUUGUAGAGACUUAACUCUUGAGCGCCAGGAUUCUGCUGAUUCCAGGGCCCUGGGUUAUAGGUAAAGCCUAGGUACUUGGAGGCUCUGAAGUAUUGGUAAGACAAAAUCAUGACAUGGAUACUUAUUACUAAUUAUGAAUGCUUGGCCUUAUCUUACGCUUUUCCCACUAGCUCUUAUAUAAAUUAACCUGUUUCUCUUCAUCUACAUUUUACCUCGGGGCUUUUUAACCUUAUUUUCAUUCGGUAUGUCCUACUCUGUGUCUGACUGGCUGGCGGCUGCCUAGCUGGCUGACUCUGAGCAUCCUCAUCUCUUUUUCCCUCAUUCUCUUUUCUUCCAUUCUCCCCUGAAGCCUAGACUACUCCUACUUAUUCUAUUUGCCUACCAGCCUUGCCAGUCCCUCUACUGCCUAGUUGUUGGCCAUUCAGUCUUUUUUAUUAGGCCAAUUAGGUGCCUUAGGCAACACAUCUUUACAUCAUUACAGAAGUGCAGCAUUAACAAAUAUAACACAUCUUUGUCUAGUUAAAGGACUAUUCUACAACAUAAACAAAUGCUAACACAUCUUUAUAUACAAAAUAAUAUUCCACAGCACAGAAUUUCAUGACUUACUGAUAAAAAAAUACAUUUCCAAGUUGGCAAACUUGAGAGACCAAGAGAAAUAAUGGAGAUGGUGUUGCAUUGUGUUGAAAGUUGGAGAAUGAGCUCAGCCUUCAAAUAUACAUUAUGCUAGUAUCAGCCUAUGAUCUUCCCCUUCCUUGUCAGGAUCUGACCUUUAACACUGGCAGUUUAAGGAGAGUGCUUUUUAUCAUGUCCAAAACUACAUAUUUCUAAGUGGUUCCUAUGUUUGUUCCUAUAAGAAGACAAGAGAAGGGCUGAUGAGAUGGCUCAACAGUUAAGAGCAUGUCUUAUUCUUGAAGGUAAUCCAGGUUCAACUCCUAGCACUCACAACCAUUUGUAAAUCCAAUGUAGGGUACCUCUGCAGGCACUAGGCAUGCAUGUGAUACACAUAUAUACAUGAAUGCAAACCAUUUGUAUACAUAAAAUAAUAAAUAAAUAAAAUUUAAAGAAUAAUAAAUGAAAUAUGUUUAAAAAGAAGCCAAAGGACAAAGAAUGGGGCCAUUAUAGUUUGACUGGGAAAUGACUCACAUAAGCUCAAGUAUUUGAAUACUAGGCUAUCAGUGACACUGUUUUAGGUUGUGGAGUCUUUGUGGGUGUGAGGCAUGGUUGACGGAGGUGGGUUACAGGGGGUUGGCAUUUGAGGGUUAUAUAGCCUGACGUAUGUCUCACUCAACCUCUCUGCUUCCUGAUUGUUUCAGGUUACAAAUGGCAGCCUCACACUUUGCUGCUAGGCAGUGACCUCUCCCAUGUGUUCCCUACCAUGAUGGACUGAUGUUCUCAGGAGCUGUGAGCCAAAGGAAAUCCCCUGUCCUUUAAAUUUUCCCAUCAGUGAUAAGGAAUGUUGUGAAGUAAUCCUUUUUGCACACUGUGAAGAUUUGUCGCUCAGAUUGGUUUAAUAAAAAGCUGGUUGGCCAGUAGCUAGGCAGGAAGUAUUGGUGGGACAAAGGACAAACUAAGGACACUAGGAAGAAGGAGGGUGGAGUCAGAGGAGUUGAUAGGAGCAAGACAUGCUGGAGGACAGGUAAAGCCAUGAGCUACGGGACAAUACAUACAUUAAUAGAAAUGGGUUAAUUUAAGUUGUAAGAGCUAGUUAGUAAUAAGCCUGAGCUAUUGGGCAAGCAUUUGUAAUUAAUAUAAGCCUCUGUGUCAGUUAUUUGGGAGCUGGCGGUAAGGAAAGUAAAGUCUACCUACAGAGGAAAGCAAUGGAUGCUGGGAGUAGCUUUGGGAUAUAGACCCUAUUUAAUUGCCAUGACUCCUUUGGAAAGAAAACUGACAAGAAAUAUCCACAUGGAAAUUAGAUGGUUUCUUAUAUUUCUCCUGCUCUAAAUCUAAAAUUAUUUCCUCCAUCUUUUCAUCUUUACAUGCUCAGUAGGUGAGUAUAUUCAGAUAAUUGGGCAUACACUAUACUCACAUUAUUCAGGGGCUUCUAGAGAAAAUAGAAUCAAUAUGGUUAAGGAAUUGACUCAAGGAACUGGGUCUGCUGGCAGUCUUCAAUCUUCAGGGCAAACCCACAAGCUGGAGAGGGAAGGAAGAGUUAUGGCCCAGUUACAAGCAGACCCAACUCUGGGCCAAAUUCCUGUUGCCCAAGGGCAAGCCAGUCUUCAUUCCAUAGGGCCUUCUGAUGGGAAGAUUAGUUAAGUUUUGGAGGAUCAUCUGACUCACCCCAAACCUUCUGGUUUAAAUGCUAAUCUCAUCUCUUCCCCUAAAUAUGUCAUCAAAGCAACCAGAAUAAUAUUUGACUAAAUAGAUUGGUACUAUGUUCCAGCCAAAUCAAUGUAUAUUAUCCUUUUAAAUAGCACAUAGAAGAUAACAGGGCAUCAUAGCAUGUGGCUCCAAUCUUCCCUGUUAGCAGUGAGUGUGUGAGAUAGGAUGUGAUCUAUCCGGUGGAUCUUAUUUUACAGACAACAACAGAAUUAGAAGAUCAGUGUUUCAUUUGGAACCUACAACCAGCAACUGAUGGAAGCAGAUGCCGUGAUCCACAGCCAAGCACUGAGUUGAGCUCCUGAAGUUCGGUUGAAGAAGGGGAGGAGAGAUCACAUGAACAAGGGUGGGUCAAGACUAUGAUGGAGAAAACCACAGAGACAGCUGACUUAAGUUAUAUGGUACCCCUUGACAGAGCGAACACACAGCCUGAGUUUUCCAGUGGGUGCUGAGAGGAAGGGUCAGUGUGGGUCUUUGUGUUAAUUGCCAUCUACUGCCAAGAUACUUCAUUGAUGAAGACUGAGAGGUGUUCCAAUCUGAUGACAGACCUGCUACACCCAAUUUACGUGGUACUAGGGACCAGGACUUUGUGAAAUUUAGGAUGCUAUUUGACCCAAUGCCUCAAGCUCCGCCAUGACUUCUCCACCAUGAUGGACUGCACCCCUGAACUGUGAGCCAGAACAGACUCUUCCUCUCUUGAGCUGCUGUUAUUAGUGUCCAGAUUUUUUUUAUUCUCUGAAAGAAUAAAAUAUUGCCCCUCAAGAUAACAUGGAAGAGAAAACUGGCUGACCCAAUGGCCUAUUGGAAUGGGCUCCCAAGUGAAAUUGUGAAAUCCUGUUCUCUGGCUAUCUCAUCUGUCUGGUAUGUUAGGGUAAAGAUUGGAGAAGGGUACAGGAGAAUGAAGAUUACCUCAAACUCCAUCCAAUCCUAAAACUGUCUCAUUUUCACAAUGGAAUUCUCACUGUUGGGUAACAGAAACAAAAACAUGUCUUAUCAAGGAGACAUUUUACAAAUAAGAAUUAUAAUUCUUGGAAAUUUUAUUAGAAUUGAUGAAUAAAAGACCUGUAAUGCAUUAUUA